Molecule: long non-coding RNA, 1466 nt
Organism: Alligator mississippiensis (American alligator)
Lineage: Eukaryota; Metazoa; Chordata; Crocodylia; Alligatoridae
Exons: 4
Source: RefSeq, a predicted model, not a curated record
UACGGCAGGGAUCUGUUUGCAUGUUUUCAACAGUGGAGGAUGUUGUGCAACAAUGCGGUGAUCUGUCAGUUGACUGUAUCCGGGAUGUAAUGGUUCAGCACUUAGGAGGUCUGCAGGAACAGUUUUGUGGAUACUUUCCUCAAGUGGGAAAAGCCAGAUGUAAUCAGUGGAUCAGGAACCCAUUCAUCUUUGAGCUGAUUCCCACAGAUACGCUGUUCUCAAAAGAAGAGGAAACCUUAUCAACCUGCCAAGCAAGUAGAAAGCACAGCACAAAUUUUCACAAAACCCAGCCGCAGACUUUUGGUUAGAGGUGGGAUCUGCGUUUCCUGAGUUAACGCACCAGGCUUAAAGCACUCAGUCCUUUUGCUUCUACCUCCUCGUUUUGUGCAGCAAGGAAACACCCCCGCUCCCACCCCCCAGAUAAGCCUGCAGGUAAUCUCCAUCUUCCUUAGGAUGCCUGUUCAGCCUGCCUCCCCACCAUAGGCAGAGUAACACACGAAACUGCAGCUUUUGCUUCCCUGACAAGGAGCGAGCUCCAAGUGCAGCCACUCCACCAAUCAGAGGGGGAAGGGGGGAACGGACACCUGUAAAAUUAAAGAUGCUGCAGCACACCUUGCCAGGAGCACAGCUCGGCAGCCAGCACCCCGCAGGGCUCCUAAGUUAGGUCCUGAAGCUUUGGGACCUGCGUUAUUCAACAUGACUCUACAACCAGUGUAUCCUGAGAUCUCUCUCUACUCCUGGGGCAUGACCUUGCACUCCCUACCUUGGCCCAGACACCAGCACUUCAUGGCAGCAGGUCCUUCCCCAUCUCUGUAUCUGGUCCCUACACUCUUAACUUCCCCAUCCUGCACUAGACCCUCCCUGGGGCAAACCCUAACAUCCCACCUAUCCCUGAAGAAACCCCAGGCACUCAUUUCUCUCAUAGUACUUUUCCCUUCCCUACCCAUGGCCCAGAUUUGCUGCCACCAUUACCACUGCUCUUGGCAUUGGGGGAACCCUAACCUGAGACUCAGGGGAAGCUGGAAUGAUGCCAUGAGCUGUGAUACCUGUUGCAUGUUCAAACAUCAUCUCUCCCUGCACCCUGUUCUUUCCUGAUUUCCCACCGAAAUUUUAAUCCCCCUUGAUGCCAAUGGUAGAAACCUAUCAGAAAUGUGACAGGAAUGGAGGACCCAGUUGAGGCCCAGAUGUUCCAACUUGCUCCCUUUCUGCUAUGCUACCUUCAAAGCAAAAGGAGGAAGUAGCCAGGACUGGCCUAUAAGCUGUAAGCCUUGAUGUCUGCCCUGAUGGUCUGGGUGUAGGAAAGGACAGAGAUACCACUAGAGGUGCAUUAGAAGGAGUGACUGGGCUCCCACCAUUGCAAUUGUUACAGUGAGCACUACAAAGCCCUCAUCUUGGGUGGGGAUGUAUCUUUUCAUGUCUUGCUGAGCAGUUAUGACCUUUAUAUUCAAUAAACCAAUUGAAUUGGG